RNAcentral lists this ribosomal RNA (305 nucleotides) under uncultured bacterium. RNAcentral's name for it is "bacterial SSU rRNA". It matches the Rfam family "Bacterial small subunit ribosomal RNA", at positions 336 to 658 of the family's 1533-position model. The record is from RNAcentral.
UUCCUACGGGAGGCAGCAGUGGGGGAUAUUGCACAAUGGGGGGAACCCUGAUGCAGCGACGCCGCGUGGGUGAAGAAGCGCCUCGGCGCGUAAAGCCCUGUCAGCAGGGAAGAAAAUGACGGUACCUGAAGAAGAAGCCCCGGCUAACUACGUGCCAGCAGCCGCGGUAAUACGUAGGUGGCGAGCGUUAUCCGGAAUGAUUGGGCGUAAAGGGUGCGCAGGCGGUCCUGCAAGUCUGGAGUGAAACGAAUGAGCUCAACUCAUGCAUGGCUUUGGAAACUGGAGGACUGGAGAGCAGGAGAGGG